RNAcentral lists this ribosomal RNA (440 nucleotides) under uncultured bacterium. RNAcentral's name for it is "partial 16S ribosomal RNA". It matches the Rfam family "Bacterial small subunit ribosomal RNA", at positions 338 to 795 of the family's 1533-position model. The record is from RNAcentral.
CCUACUGGCUGCAGCAGUGGGGAAUAUUGCACAAUGGGGGAAACCCUGAUGCAGCGACGCCGCGUGAGUGAAGAAGUAUUUCGGUAUGUAAAGCUCUGUCAGCAGGGAAGAAAAUGACGGUACCUGAACAAGAAGCCCCGGCUAACUACGUGCCAGCAGCCGCGGUAAUACGUAGGGGGCAAGCGUUAUCCGGAUUUACUGGGUGUAAAGGGAGCGUAGACGGCAGGGCAAGUCUGGAGUGAAAGGCGGGGGCUCAACACCCGGACUGCUCUGGAAACUGCCAGGCGGGAGUGCAGGAGAGGUAAGUGGAAUGCCUAGUGUAGCGGUGAAAUGCGUAGAUAUUAGGAGGAACACCAGUGGCGAAGGCGGCUUACUGGACUGUAACUGACGUUGAGGCUCGAAAGCGUGGGGAGCAAACAGGAUUAGAUACCCUAGUAGUC